AGGGACGGGCGUGAUGUCGGUGGCACUCUCCGUGAGGCAGGGACGGGACAGCGAGGGUGGCCGGAGCCGGGGGGCACCUUAACGGGGACAGUCCGCGGGGCCGAGCGCCGGGGUUCCCGGGCUGCCCCCGCCACCGCCCUCCCCACCGGCUGACAUUUGCCAUGCGCAGACAACACGCACUUCAACCAACAAUUCAGCCCGAGCCCCGCUGCAAACUCGCUGGGUUAUUUUUCUCGUCGUUCUCCGCUUGUUUAUGGCUGACGCUAUCUCGCCUGCACCGCUCCCUCGGUUUCAUUAUCUCUCCUCGCAGAUGGCCAUGGCUUUCCUUCUUCAUAGGGCUUCUCUCUGCUGGUGCUAGAGCUCCCUCUCCUCUCCCCAGCUCUGCAUCCCUCACCCUUGCUUACAGGCGAGCCUUCCCCAGCGAAGCUCUUCCAGCCAUCCUUCCUCCUGCAGUCCCCUCUCCUCUGAAGACCCCAGCAUCCCGUAAAAUAAAGCCAAUGGCGCUAAUGUAAUAACAGUGACAUUGUGCCCAGCGGGACCAGGGCAGUGACCGUCCCUGUGCUGGGGCACCUCCCACCCCCUCGAGACAGACGUUGAGGGGCUGGAGAGUGUUCUGGGAAGGGGCUGGAGCACCAGGAGCGGCUGAGGGAGCUGGGAAGGGGCUCAGCCUGGAGAAAAGGAGGCUCGGGGGGACCUUCUGGCUCUGCACAGCUCCCUGACAGGAGGGGACAGCCGGGAUUAAAGAAGUGCAACCAUUUCCAAGGAUUCAAAGGCAUGGUGGGAAAAGGAAAAAAGUUUUUUACCUCAUUGGCAGAGAAUUUAAGGAUGAGUGUAACAGCCAGUGUGUCCCUAAGACAGCACCUGAGUGGGUAAUGUCUGUGACAUCCUUUAAGGAAGAUGCUUCCUCUGGAUCACUUUCUUAGCCACCACAUGAGCCAUCCUAGUGGAGCUGGGAGCCUCCAUGCAGCCUGGAUCCUGAGCCCUGGGUUCAUUCUGAUCUUGGUUGUGCUGGUUCCCUGUGGAGAACUCUGACCACCCUUCCAAAAUACUCUGUGACUGUUUUCCUUUCUCAGAGACUGAGAUAGAGGAAAUAUAUCACAGAGCAAUAGCUGGGCAAAUGCAAAUCCUCCUUGCAGAGUUCUUUUAACUUCAAGCCACUAAAUACACAUUUGGUCUAUGGAACUGUAUUUACUUCCCCUCUCAGAGGGACAAGCUUUGUCAGCUGUAAUGAUGAGCUGUUGUUUGACAUUCAUAAUAUUGUACUUGACUGCUUAUCUGAUGGAGGCAUGCAAAGCUAUUUAGGGGCUUCUGAAAUGUGACAGCCCACAUGAAGCUUUUUUAGAUUUCACAAAACGCCUUCAGGAGGCAGGAGAAUAUGGCAUGGGAAUGGCUGGCUGGAACAACAAGCCUGCCUGAAUGCCAGCGGGGUGGCUGGAGCUGGGGAGGAGGAAUGGGCUUUGAAAGUUUGCAGCUUUUGUUGUGUGCUGUCAAAGGAAGAACUUGCAGCCUGAAGGAACAGGCAUGGUGGAUGCCAUGGGUGGGGGACUGUGGGGAUUAUUGAUCCUGCCUGGAAAAGGCAUAAAGAUGGAGGCAAAUAUGUUAAAACCUGUUUGGACCAUCCACAGACAGAAGGGGGCUCAAGGGAGACAGCUCAGAUGCCCCAUUUCAUGCUAUCUUCUCUUAAUAAACGGAAAGAUCUCACUUUCUGACAAACUUCUGUAUCUUCAUCUUUACUGACAUGCAGA
This is a long non-coding RNA of Serinus canaria (Common canary), 1745 nucleotides long. RefSeq lists it as uncharacterized. The record is from RefSeq and is a predicted model, not a curated record. The transcript has 4 exons. NCBI's taxonomy places the organism in Eukaryota, Metazoa, Chordata, Aves, Passeriformes, Fringillidae.